UUAAAGAAUAGCUGAGGUGUGGUGGCUACGAGGAAUUCAGCGGGGUUCUGACAGAAUGGAUCAAAUUAGGACUCACCUUCGGGUGUAUCAACUUAUAAAUUGUAUCUUAAAGCUUCCGUACAAUGCAAAUGGUUACGUCACUCUCACGUGACGGCCAGCAUGCCCUCCUUCGGGACAGGAUGUGUCAGUUGGUAUCAAAGCAUGGUUGCAAUCUUGGACAUCUUGAGAAGUUUCUAGUGAAUUAUGUCAGAACUACACCGCCUCAUAGCAAACCACGUAGUUAGAGGAACUUAGUCUCCCUGAUUUAGCGGUUUAGAGGAAACUAUUAUUAUGGUGAUUCAGUAUAUUAUCAAAAUGGAUAUUUUAAGACGGGUUAUGAGUCGAAUUUGAAUCACCUUAUGAAAUGAUGAACCUGAGGGAGCGAAGUAACGGUUUAACCAUUUGGAAAAGAUGUUUCAGAUUAUGCAAGUCAAAUGAAUCUUCCUUCUGACAGGGGGUCGAGACGACUACCUGGUUUUGGGUAUGAAUUUGUAUCCUGGUGGAAACAGGAUUGUUAAUUGUUGUCACCAGAGGAAUCAGCCGAUUUAAAAUUGUUUAAGGACUUGUUUAAGGAAAAGUUUAUCCCUCCGGCAUUUAUCGAUGGUAGUAAGCAAGAGUUUGCAAAUGUGAAUCAAGGAAGUUGACGAUAAAUGAAUAUUAUAGAAAGUUUUCAGACUUGCCUCGUUCCAUCCAGAUAUUGUUGUUAAUUUGAUGGAGGUGUUAUGUUGUUUUAAGCUAGGUGACAAAAAGAGAAGUGGUAUUUUGGGUGACCACUAUCCAUUAUACUUCUUACCAGGAAUAUACGAGAUGCUGUUGAGUCUUGAGGACUCUGAGAACAUGAGCAACGAGAAUAAAGAAGAAUAAGAAAUGAAUGGGAAUUAAAAGAAGACGAUAAAGUUAAUGAUUCGUCAUAUCAAGGAUAUAGAAAGAUUC
RNAcentral lists this long non-coding RNA (972 nucleotides) under Malus domestica (apple). RNAcentral describes it as "long non-coding RNA (MDOM_LNC017640)". The record is from RNAcentral. Lineage: Eukaryota; Viridiplantae; Streptophyta; Magnoliopsida; Rosales; Rosaceae.